Molecule: transfer RNA, 76 nt
Filed under: Ezakiella coagulans
Lineage: Bacteria; Bacillati; Bacillota; Tissierellia
Also listed under: 4 other names
Description: tRNA-Gly
Rfam family: tRNA
About the family: Transfer RNA (tRNA) molecules are approximately 80 nucleotides in length.
Source: RNAcentral
GCGGAAGUAGCUCAGUGGCUAGAGCACCGCCUUGCCAAGGCGGGGGUCGCGAGUUCGAAUCUCGUUUUCCGCUCCA